Molecule: ribosomal RNA, 220 nt
Filed under: uncultured bacterium
Lineage: Bacteria
Description: partial 16S ribosomal RNA
Rfam family: Bacterial small subunit ribosomal RNA
Source: RNAcentral
UAAUGUAUGGGGAUCUGCCCGAUAGAGGGGGAUAACUACUGGAAACGGUGGCUAAUACCGCAUAAUGUCUACGGACCAAAGCAGGGGCUCUUCGGACCUUGCACUAUCGGAUGAACCCAUAUGGGAUUAGCUAGUAGGUGGGGUAAAGGCUCACCUAGGCGACGAUCUCUAGCUGGUCUGAGAGGAUGAUCAGCCACACUGGAACUGAGACACGGCCCAG